Ictidomys tridecemlineatus (thirteen-lined ground squirrel) is the source of this 420-nucleotide long non-coding RNA. The record is from Ensembl. NCBI's taxonomy places the organism in Eukaryota, Metazoa, Chordata, Mammalia, Rodentia, Sciuridae.
UAUUGAUGACCAACUCAAAUAAUUGAAUGCACUCUCCGGGUGCACUUUUCGCGCUUCGGGUUGCAAUGCCCGAAGGGGCGGGUGCAGAGCGCAUGCUCGGGAGCAAUGUCCACGCUGCACCAGGGCGCUGCCGUCUGACCUUGACAGGUGUGUCAGCUUCUCUGUAGCACGUGACUCACAGGGACCGAUCUGCAUUCAUGGCAAUAGAAGGUACCUCUGGGGAGACACACGAGUAUUCGAUGAAGACGAAUGGUGACUCUUGGACAUUCAAUCAAGCCACCCCAAAGCGGAUUCAUCCUGCCCCCUAAUGAAGAUGGACAUUCUCCGCCAUCCUGCCAGGGGACACGGUCUCCCGUCCCGCGGUGCAGAACGAGAUGGAGAAAUAGCCACUUGGAUUUGGGGAUCUUAUCAACCGUGCUG